Molecule: long non-coding RNA, 1024 nt
Organism: Syngnathoides biaculeatus (alligator pipefish)
Lineage: Eukaryota; Metazoa; Chordata; Actinopteri; Syngnathiformes; Syngnathidae
Exons: 3
Source: RefSeq, a predicted model, not a curated record
AUAUCAUCUGCGAACAUCAUGGUCAAAAGGGGAUUCCAGUCUAACCUCGUCUGUCAGCAUAUCCAUUACUACCGCAAACACAAAGGGGCUCAGCGUGGAACCCUGAUGCAGUCCCACCUUCACCUUGAAUUCUUCUGACACACCUACGGCACAUCUCACAGAUGUUCUGCUGCUCUCAUACAUGUCCUGUACUAUUCUAACAAUUCUCCACCACACCAGACUUGUGCAUGCAGUACCACAGUUAUUCUCUUGGUACUCUGUCAUGGGCUGUCUCUAGGUCUACAAAGGUACAAUAUAGCUCCUUCUGACCUUCUCUGUACUUUUCCACGAGCAUCAUUAAGGCAAAUAAUGCAACUGUGGUACUCUUUCAAGGCAUGAAACCAUACUGUUGCUCGCAGAUACUUACUUCUGUCCUGAGUCUAGCCUCCACUACUCUUUCCCAUAACUUCAUCAUGUGGCUCAUCAUCUUUAUUCCUCUGUAGUUUCCACAGUUCUGAACAUCGCUUUUGUUCUUAAAAAUGGGGACUAGCACACUUUUCCUCCAUUCUCCAUUCUCCUGGCAUCUUCUCUCCCGCUAGUAUUCUUUUGAAUAAGUUGGUCAAAAACUCUACAGCCACCUCACCAAACUGCUUCCAUACCUCCAAUGAGCUCCAGACCAGUGGGACUAGGAGCCGCUGUGCAUGCUCACAUGUGCAUAGCAGCUCAAAGCCACUUCCGGCCUCAACAGACGAGUAAAUAUGCUAAACCUCGAUGCAAGACAUGCAUGAAUGACGCCACAGCGGCUCUUUGGCUGGACUAAAAACAACUCCCAGAGCGUUUCUGCAACAUUUCCUCUUUAGCGUCAUCGUAGUUAAGUAAUGUCAGAUGAAGGAUGUUGAUGCAGAUUGCUCCGCGGUGUUCGGCUUGUGCCGUAUGAAAGAAUGUCAUCAAUCUCAUCGAUUUAUAUUUUAUUAGCAGUCAGAAAAUAAAAUCAACAUCUGAUGAUCAUUAAUGAUGGGGAUCUGUGAAUUUUUAAAUGGACUCG